UGCGCAGGCGGUUCCAUAAGACAGAUGUGAAAUCCCCGGGCUCAACCUGGGAACUGCAUUUGUGACUGUGGAGCUAGAGUACGGUAGAGGGGAUGGAAUUCCGCGUGUAGCAGUGAAAUGCGUAGAUAUGCGGAGGAACACCAAUGGCGAAGGCAAUCCCCUGGACCUGUACUGACGCUCAUGCACGAAAGCUGGGAGCAAACA
This 204-nucleotide ribosomal RNA is filed under the name uncultured bacterium. Its description in RNAcentral is "partial 16S ribosomal RNA". It matches the Rfam family "Bacterial small subunit ribosomal RNA", at positions 568 to 774 of the family's 1533-position model. The record is from RNAcentral.